AGCGAAGAUCGAUAUGUCUUAAGAAAACUGGCUACUCACAUCAGAAAUUCACAGGCUUUUGUGAUGUUUGACAGGAAAAAGCAUGAAUUUGUCACCUUCCAAGAGGUAAGCAUUGUCACUACUGGCUUGCUCCCAACACUAUCUGAUUGAUGCAGUUUGUGGCCGCAUCAGUAUCUUUGUCCAGAAAUGCAAGCUUUUUGAAGCUGCUGGAUUUG
Molecule: long non-coding RNA, 215 nt
Filed under: Selaginella moellendorffii
Lineage: Eukaryota; Viridiplantae; Streptophyta; Lycopodiopsida; Selaginellales; Selaginellaceae
Description: long non-coding RNA (SMOE_LNC001713)
Source: RNAcentral